GACGAACCGUGCAAACGUUGUUCGGAAUCACUGGGCUUAAAGGGCGCGUAGGCGGGCCAGCCAGUCUGUGGUGAAAGCCUCCAGCUUAACUGGAGAAGUGCCGUGGAUACUGCUGGCCUCGAGGAGGGUAGGGGCAUCUGGAACGGUCGGUGGAGCGGUGAAAUGCGUUGAUAUCGACCGGAACUCCGGUGGCGAAGGCGAGGUGCUGGGCCCUUUCUGACGCUGAUGCGCGAAAGCCAGGGGAGCAAACGGG
This 253-nucleotide ribosomal RNA is filed under the name uncultured bacterium. Its description in RNAcentral is "partial 16S ribosomal RNA". It matches the Rfam family "Bacterial small subunit ribosomal RNA", at positions 524 to 776 of the family's 1533-position model. The record is from RNAcentral. RNAcentral also lists the same sequence under 1 other name.